RNAcentral lists this ribosomal RNA (1225 nucleotides) under Staphylococcus pseudintermedius. RNAcentral describes it as "partial 23S ribosomal RNA". It matches the Rfam family "Bacterial large subunit ribosomal RNA", at positions 1471 to 2695 of the family's 2925-position model. Lineage: Bacteria; Bacillati; Bacillota; Bacilli; Caryophanales; Staphylococcaceae. The record is from RNAcentral.
GACGCAGUAGGAUAGGCGAAGCGUGCUGUUGGAGUGCACGUCCAAGCAGUGAGAUUGAGUGUUAGGCAAAUCCGGCACUCUUAAGAUUGAGCUGUGAUGGGGAGAGGAACUUGUUCCUCGAGUCGUUGAUUUCACACUGCCGAGAAAAGCCUCUAGCUAGAAUAACGGUGCCCGUACCGCAAACCGACACAGGUAGUCAAGAUGAGAAUUCUAAGGUGAGCGAGCGAACUCUCGUUAAGGAACUCGGCAAAAUGACCCCGUAACUUCGGGAGAAGGGGUGCUCUUUGAGGUUCACGCUUCGAAGAGCCGCAGUGAAUAGGCCCAAGCGACUGUUUAUCAAAAACACAGGUCUCUGCUAAACCGUAAGGUGACGUAUAGGGGCUGACGCCUGCCCGGUGCUGGAAGGUUAAGAGGAGUGGUUAGCGCAAGCGAAGCUACGAAUCGAAGCCCCAGUAAACGGCGGCCGUAACUAUAACGGUCCUAAGGUAGCGAAAUUCCUUGUCGGGUAAGUUCCGACCCGCACGAAAGGCGUAACGAUUUGGGCACUGUCUCAACGAGAGACUCGGUGAAAUCAUAGUACCGGUGAAGAUGCCGGUUACCCGCGACAGGACGGAAAGACCCCGUGGAGCUUUACUGUAGCCUGAUAUUGAAAUUCGGUACAGUUUGUACAGGAUAGGUAGGAGCCUUAGAAGCGUGAGCGCUAGCUUACGUGGAGGCAUUGGUGGGAUACUACCCUAAUUGUAUUGGAUUUCUAACCCGCAGCACUUAUCGUGCUGGGAGACAGUGUCAGGCGGGCAGUUUGACUGGGGCGGUCGCCUCCUAAAGAGUAACGGAGGCGCUCAAAGGUUCCCUCAGAAUGGUUGGAAAUCAUUCAUAGAGUGUAAAGGCAUAAGGGAGCUUGACUGCGAGACCUACAAGUCGAGCAGGGUCGAAAGACGGACUUAGUGAUCCGGUGGUUCCGCAUGGAAGGGCCAUCGCUCAACGGAUAAAAGCUACCCCGGGGAUAACAGGCUUAUCUCCCCCAAGAGUUCACAUCGACGGGGAGGUUUGGCACCUCGAUGUCGGCUCAUCGCAUCCUGGGGCUGUAGUCGGUCCCAAGGGUUGGGCUGUUCGCCCAUUAAAGCGGUACGCGAGCUGGGUUCAGAACGUCGUGAGACAGUUCGGUCCCUAUCCGUCGUGGGCGUAGGAAAUUUGAGAGGAGCUGUCCUUAGUACGAGAGGACCGG